AUUCCAGCUCCAAAAGCGUAUAUUAAAGUUGUUGCGGUUAAAAAGCUCGUAGUUGGAUUUCUGUUGAGGACUGCCGGUCCAUGUUUUGCAUGAGAAUCGGUUCGGCCUCGGCAUCCUCUCGGGGAACGCACUGCGCUUCAUUGCGUGGUGCGGGCGCCGAGACUUUUACUUUGAGGAAAUUAGAGUGUUCACGGCAGGCUGUCGCCCUGAAUACAUUAGCAUGGAAUAAUACUAUAGGACCUCGGUUCUAUUUUGUUGGUUUCUAGAGCUGAGGUAAUGAUUAAUAGGAACGGUUGGGGGCAUUCGUAUUAACGCGUCAGAGGUGGAAUUCUUGGAUUGCGUUACGACGGACUACUGCGAAAGCAUUUGCCAAGGAUGUUUUCAUUA
Molecule: ribosomal RNA, 387 nt
Filed under: Syndiniales sp.
Lineage: Eukaryota; Dinophyceae; Syndiniales
Description: partial small subunit ribosomal RNA
Rfam family: Eukaryotic small subunit ribosomal RNA
Source: RNAcentral